UACGGGGGAUGCAAGCGUUAUCCGGAAUCAUUGGGCGUAAAGCGCCUGUAGGUUGUUUAAUAAGUCUGUUGUUAAAGACUAGGGCUUAACCCUAGGAAAGCAAUGGAAACUACUAGACUAGAGUAUGGUAGGGGUAGAGGGAAUUUCUAGUGUAGCGGUGAAAUGCGUAGAUAUUAGAAAGAACACCGGUGGCGAAGGCGCUCUACUGGACCAUUACUGACACUCAGAGGCGAAAGCUAGGGUAGCAAAAGGGAUUAGAUACCCCUGUAGUCCUAGCCGUAAACGAUGGAUACUAGAUGUUGCGUUUUUAUGCAGUAUCCUAGCUAACGCGUUAAGUAUCCCGCCUGGGGAGUACGCUCGCAAGGGUG
This 368-nucleotide ribosomal RNA is filed under the name uncultured phototrophic eukaryote. RNAcentral's name for it is "SSU rRNA". It matches the Rfam family "Bacterial small subunit ribosomal RNA", at positions 524 to 896 of the family's 1533-position model. The record is from RNAcentral.